UCUCCACUAAGGGUAACCUGGGACUACCUAUCACCACAGUGUGUGGAUGCAUAAGAAAGACUGCACUGGAAAGAAAAAAAUAUAUUCCUCAAGCCCCUUUCUCAUCCUCCAAAGACCAUGCGGUUCUGGACUCUGCCUCAAUGGCGGGAAAACCUCAACCGGCACGGCACACGCCCAACGCAGGGAGCAUGCGCAGUGUGUUCGUGUGUGCGCGCGCACCCCUUGCUGCGCAUGCCCCUUGUUGCGCAUACGCGUUCCUGAGCAUUCUGUGAGGAGCGUUGGGCCUGAGACGCGUCUGUUUAUUCAGUCCCCGUUCUUUCUCACUACUUGAGACUCACCAGGGAGAAAUAUGAGUGGGCAAGUGGCAUCAACAUUGGGACCUGCAGAUCAAGAUUCCUCUGAGGUGGAUGAACCUGUGGUUCAGCCCAGUGUUGAGCAACCUGAACAAGAGGAACCACCAGCUGAGAUUCAGGAUAUCACACCUAGAAAGGAGGAGGUCCAUGGAGAGGAUCCAGUGAAUCGUGAUGAAGAGGAGGAGAAGGAUGCCUAUGAAGGUAAAGUGUAUUUGUGCAUCAUGCCUUAAGACAUAGCCAGUAAGAGGAGGAAAGGAAACAUUAGAAAAAGACUUCAGACAAUUCCUAAAAAUCUGAGGAGAGUAUAGGUUGCAGGUUAGUGUGGUUGCUCAGAUUUUCCCUUGUUUUCAAGACAAAGAGAGGGGGGCAGCUAAGUUGUCUGAGGACAACCCUGGAAAAGGAAAAUGGUAAUAACAUUUGGAAAAUUCUGCUUUCCUUUUUCUCCAGCAAAACAUUCCCGGAAUAAUGCUCCUGAGGUUCUUAUUCAUCACAUUUUUAGCAUAAUAACCUAAGGCUUUGAAUUCAUAACACCGAGGGAAUGAAUAUCACCAUUCCCUCGUUUAUACUGUAUGCUUUACAGCUGAAUUGAUGCAUUUUUUUAAAAAAAGAUUCUGGCCUGGAAGCUGAUCUCCAGGAAUUGUCUGUGUCAAAGACUGGGGGUGAAGGUGGAGAUGGUCCUGAUGUCAGGGAGGAGUUUGCAUCAAAUAUAGAGCCUGUUGAAAUGCCAGAAGCAGGUGAAGGGCAACCAUUUGCUUGAAAGAAGAGAAACUGAAACCAUCUAUGCUGUUCUUCUGUUGUGUAUUUGACUGUUAAAGUUCUGUCAAUAAAGUUUCGUCUUCUACUGGCACAUGUUUUGUUAAAUUUAU
Molecule: long non-coding RNA, 1219 nt
Organism: Capra hircus (goat)
Lineage: Eukaryota; Metazoa; Chordata; Mammalia; Artiodactyla; Bovidae
Exons: 4
Source: RefSeq, a predicted model, not a curated record